UACAGAGGUCCCAAGCGUUGUUCGGAUUCACUGGGCGUAAAGGGUGCGUAGGUGGUCGGGUAAGUCUGAUGUGAAAUCUCCGAGCUCAACUCGGAAAUGGCAUUGGAUACUAUUCGGCUAGAGGGUUGGAGGGGGGACUGGAAUUCUCGGUGUAGCAGUGAAAUGCGUAGAUAUCGAGAGGAACACCAGUGGCGAAGGCGAGUCCCUGGACAACUCCUGACACUGAGGCACGAAAGCUAGGGGAGCAAACAGG
Molecule: ribosomal RNA, 253 nt
Filed under: uncultured bacterium
Lineage: Bacteria
Description: partial 16S ribosomal RNA
Rfam family: Bacterial small subunit ribosomal RNA
Source: RNAcentral